RNAcentral lists this long non-coding RNA (593 nucleotides) under Helianthus annuus (common sunflower). Its description in RNAcentral is "hypothetical non coding rna". The record is from RNAcentral. Lineage: Eukaryota; Viridiplantae; Streptophyta; Magnoliopsida; Asterales; Asteraceae.
CCACCAUGUAUGUUGUAUUCUCACAACAUUUAGACUCUCUCAUAUCCCUCAAACUUCUAUCCACAUUCGUUGCUAGCUCAUAAAGCUCGAUCGAUUUUCAACUCCACGAACAAUUCAUCCGCCAUAGGUAUGAUCGACUUAGCUAUUCGGUUCGAGUCUAAGGCAAUUUUUCACAAUUUUGGUGGCUAAAUAUGUGUUAGAAGAAUGACAGAACCAAGAGAAGAUAAGGGCAAAACGUUCGGUAGCCGCGAGGGAGAUUGCGAGGUGUGUAGGAUGUGGUUAGCUGGAGAAACCGUGGACGCUACGAAAUGGUUCGCUAAAUGAUGAAGAUCGUAUAAAGUCCGAAACUAAAUCUGGUAAAUCCAACAGAAUUUCACCCCCUGCUGGCAAGAUAGCCCAUAAUGAAAUUGAUAUGAGUUCUGAACCAACAAGUGCUGAUGUGGAAAAUGAUGUUUUUCUAGAUUGCUUGUAAAAAAGUGAAAGAUGGAACAAAUAAUGAAGAUGAUCAAGGACCUUGUCACCCCUCCCAUUUUUGUUAAAAUAGUAUCACUGCCUAUGGUAGUGACGUGACAUUUUAAUAAACUAUUUUAGCU